Molecule: ribosomal RNA, 402 nt
Filed under: Triticum aestivum (bread wheat)
Lineage: Eukaryota; Viridiplantae; Streptophyta; Magnoliopsida; Poales; Poaceae
Description: partial small subunit ribosomal RNA
Source: RNAcentral
AUGGAGUACCAGGGGCAGCACGGCCACGCCACCGACAAGGUGGAGGAGUACGGCCAGCCUGUGGCCGGGCACGGCGGUUUCACCGGCAGGCCCACGGGGACGCACGGCGCGCAGCUCCAGGCGACGAGGGACGACCACAAGACCGACGGCGUCCUUCGCCGCUCCGGCAGCUCCAGCUCCAGCUCGUCCGAGGACGACGGCGUGGGCGGCAGGAGGAAGAAGGGGAUGAAGGAGAAGAUCAAGGAGAAGCUCCCCGGCGGAGCCCACAAGGACGCCACCGCCGGGCAGCAGCACACGGCGGUGGCGGGCGAGUACGCGGGCACGCACGGCACCGAGGCCACCGGCGAGAAGAAGGGCGUCAUGGACAAGAUCAAGGAGAAGCUUCCCGGCGGACAGCACUGA